Long non-coding RNA from Wyeomyia smithii (pitcher-plant mosquito), 1972 nucleotides. RefSeq lists it as uncharacterized. Lineage: Eukaryota; Metazoa; Arthropoda; Insecta; Diptera; Culicidae. The transcript is spliced from 2 exons. The record is from RefSeq and is a predicted model, not a curated record.
GUCUGCUUUUUCUUUUGGCAGUUUUUGCCCAUAACAAGGUUAAAAAUAGAGGUAGGUCUACUAGAUCAUGAUUCUCAAAGCAGUUUUCAAGUCGAAUCUCGACAAAUCGACUCUAGUGCUUGGGAUCUUUUGUGCAACAUGAUUUGCCUCGAAUACAAUGGGCACACUAGCGACAUUACUUAUCUAGGGACUAAAUAAUCUUAUAUUUGCAUGUUAUCUGUUUUGAGUGUAGUAUUCGUUUCUCCCUCUCCACGGUUAAAUGAAGCUACCUAAUUAUGAGUACGAAAACUACCAACUUUUGAGUUCGCCUAAGCGAACUGCGAUUUUGAGUAACUUUGAUUAAGUGAAAUUUGUAGAAAAAACUCAUAUGAUGGAUCAAUGCACCAUAUCUAUGUUUGAAUGAAAUGUUUUGAAUUUUCGCUGCUCGAGAGGUUAUUGUUUACCUAAUUUUGGAUGAAAAUUUUUAACCUGCCAGUGCUGUCAAGAAAGAAACAGUUGUGAAAUCAACAGUGUUUUUUUCUACGAGUGCUUAAAAUUCGGGUUUCUAGUGAAAGAAGGUUUGGAGUUGUAUUUUGUUUGCUUUGAAAUAUUCAAAAUGAAUAAAAUAUCCUCAUCGAUUAGCGAAAGACUUCCUUCCGAAAGCAAAACCACCCGCACAGAAAGUGGUAUCGCCUGCGGGGCCACUGAACCAGAGAAUGAACUACUGGUGUGCGCCAGAGUGGCACGGGCCAGAUUUUGGUUUUCCGGAAAUUUACAGCGUUGAAGGUCCCACCAAGAAAACGAACGGACACACCUCAAGAUCGAUUGUGUGAUAAGCAACUUUCGGUUGUUGGAGAGAAUAUAAACAAUGUUAUAAACAUUAUCUUUAGUGUUUUGAGUUUUAUUUGUAUUAAAAAACCAAAAUUUUCAAUUUCUGUUGCAGGAAUUCUCAAUGCUUAUAGUGAAUAGUUUGAGCUUAAUUUUGGGUAGUUUUAUCGAUCGUUGAGUAAUUUUUACCCAAUUUGUAGCUCAUACCAGAUUACUUACUUUUGGGUACUCAAUACUAUAGGAUUGAGUAAAAAGAACUUUAUUUUAGGUUGAAAUUACUUAUUUUUGUAGAAAUAUGUCAUUAGAAGCUACUUAGUUUAGGGUGAAGUUAACUCACUGAUAUGUUAAAACUACCCACUUGGCAUUACCAAUGAUCUGUAAAACAAAUUAGUUAUGGGUUGAAUUGACGAACUUAAUCGUUAAAACUACCUAUUUUGUUGAUAAUCAUGAACUUAAACAUCCCAAUAUGCGUUAAAACAAGUCAUUUUUGUAUCUGUUUUAUCUUAUAUGGUACCAAUUUUUAGGUAUAUUUCGUUAUCCAAUUAUAGAUAUGAUCAUACAACUCAGAAGUAGGUAUAGCCUCUCUACUCAAAUUUUGAGUUUGUGCGCUUUAAAAGGAUUUUGAGUGAUUUCUACUUAGGUAUAGGUUUUUCAUGGUAAGCGUGGCAGGCAAACAGUGUAAUACAGGCUUAUCUCCUCGUUUUCAAGCAGUUUUUUUUUUGUUUUUCGAGCAGUUGCAGUCAUUUUUCAAAAACAUCUGGCAUCUUUGACAUUAACCGGUUAAAAAAUUUAACUGUAGGUUACAUAUAAAUAAUUUUCUCAGUAUAUAAUAUGGGUUCACGAACGCUCAUUUUUAACGAAAACUUUUUAAAUGAUGGAGACCAGGAUGCUAAUUCGGUUUUGAUUGAACUUUUUUUUUUUUUAUAACUAAUAUUUAUUUAGGCCCAACCGCGAGGCAUAACGGGGCCGAAUGUCUUUUGGAGUAGGGAAAAGCCAGCUUGAGUAGAGCCUGUAUCCCGACUGCUCCUCCUCAAACAGGCAUAAAAACCCUCUCAUCUUUUCUUUUUUAUAAAUACAAUUUAAAAAUACAUGUCAUUUAAACCUACGACUAAAAAUAACAUUAAAUUUCUUCUCUAUGUUAAAUAUCAAUUCUUAAUACUAUUCA